This 253-nucleotide ribosomal RNA is filed under the name uncultured bacterium. Its description in RNAcentral is "partial 16S ribosomal RNA". It matches the Rfam family "Bacterial small subunit ribosomal RNA", at positions 524 to 776 of the family's 1533-position model. The record is from RNAcentral.
UACGUAGGGGGCAAGCGUUGUUCGGAGUUAUUGGGCGUAAAGCGCGCGUAGGCGGUGCGGUAAGUCUGUGGUGAAAGCGCUCGGCUUAACUGGGCGAGGGCCGGGGAGACUGCCACGCUGGAGGGGAGGAGAGGCGAGUGGAAUUCCGGGUGUAGUGGUGAAAUGCGUAGAGAUCCGGAGGAACACCAGUGGCGAAGGCGGCUCGCUGGGCGCUACCUGACGCUGAGGCGCGAAAGCGUGGGGAGCGAACCGG